Molecule: ribosomal RNA, 399 nt
Filed under: uncultured bacterium
Lineage: Bacteria
Description: bacterial SSU rRNA
Rfam family: Bacterial small subunit ribosomal RNA
Source: RNAcentral
UUGAACGCUGGCGGCAUGCCUUACACAUGCAAGUCGAACGGCAGCACGGGGGCGACCCUGGUGGCGAGUGGCGAACGGGUGAGUAACGCAUCGGAACGUACCCGGAAGUGGGGGAUAACGUAGCGAAAGUUACGCUAAUACCGCAUAUUCUGUGAGCAGGAAAGAGGGGGAUCGCAAGACCUCUCGCUUCCGGAGCGGCCGAUGUCGGAUUAGCUAGUUGGCGGGGUAAAGGCCCACCAAGGCGACGAUCCGUAGCGGGUCUGAGAGGAUGAUCCGCCACACUGGGACUGAGACACGGCCCAGACUCCUACGGGAGGCAGCAGUGGGGAAUUUUGGACAAUGGGCGCAAGCCUGAUCCAGCCAUGCCGCGUGAGUGAAGAAGGCCUUCGGGUUGUAAAG